Helianthus annuus (common sunflower) is the source of this 1310-nucleotide RNA transcript. RefSeq lists it as uncharacterized. The transcript has 4 exons. NCBI's taxonomy places the organism in Eukaryota, Viridiplantae, Streptophyta, Magnoliopsida, Asterales, Asteraceae. The record is from RefSeq and is a predicted model, not a curated record.
UCGCGAGAUGACGGAGAUUGUGCAGAGUUUGUUAAUUCGGAAGUCAAGCCUAUUAAAUCGCAAGUCACAUUUCAUCCCCUCCAUAAUCACAUUUCAAAGUUCAAACCCACUUCUCUCACUCUCUCAAAUUCUCUAUGAAUCAGAUCUGGAUCCACUCUCUAGGUCCACCCUUGAAUCAAAAGAGAAGAACAUCAAUGCAUUUGUUGCUGACGACGAUCCAUUUGAAUCACCACAGGGGUCCGAUUUGGAACCCUCGCUGCUCUCAUACCAAACCACAUGGAAACCUUGUUUGACCUUUGUUUCGAUUUACCACACCAGAAACAUUCAAUUCUUAAUUGAUGUUUACGGAAUUAAAAGCUUUAUAGGUCUAAUUUCCAUACCAACUCAUUAAUGGAACCUUGAUAGGCCUUUCCUCACAGCCAAAGGUAAUUUCCGCUAGGUAUAUCAUCUUUCAUUUCUCUUGCUUAAUUGCUUACACAUAUUUAUAAGUUCGUACGCGACUAGAAAUAUAAAAAAUUGUUGUGAAUUAACAUUAUAGUAAUGCUUGUGUUUGCAACCCUUAUUCAGGAAGAAAAGUUGACAUCUGUGUUGGUUGAAUCAAAGGGGAAUUCAGUGGGUAUUUGGUAUUAUUUAAAGGAAAUUGCUUAUCGUUUCACGUUUUGUUUAUACAGUUUGGAAUCUAAGAAGCCUAUUGGUUGUUACAAUGCUUCACUCCAGGUAUGGUCAUGAUCUGUAUAAAACAAGUAAGGAUCGCUUAUGCUACUGUUAGUGUUUUCUCAGGUUGGAGGCAUUUUCAAUAACUAUUAUGUUGAGGGUAGCCAACCAGUUGAUCUCUAUAAGCACCAUAUGGAACUGUUUCUACACUAUAGCUAAUUUGUCAAUGUUAGAGAUUUCAGCCGUUAUCAAAGAGUUUAGAUCCCGCCACUUGUCUGUGCUUACCAAUGUAUCCAUAUUAUUAACUAUAAUAAAAUAUAAUUUGUGUGCCCAAUAAUAAAAUGUGAUGGUUGUAUUGAAACAAGGUGAAGGGAAAGAAAACGAGAACACCUCUAAUGACUUAUGGGAGAAGUGGAAACGUUGAGGUCUCAUUGGAGUAGCUGCUUGUGGAACCUUAAUAGCAAUCACUGGUGGUUGACUUCGGUUGUGGCUCUCGAAGCUUAUUGGAUUCAUUAUUGCAAAUUUACUUCGGUUCUUAAAGGGAAUUGUAAACUCGAUCACAUACUUUUUAUGAAUUCUGUUGUGAUUAAAUUUGUACUAUGAAUAUGACAUAUUUGUGUGAUUCAUAACAUAACACUUCGUAUUGCUUCUUUCAA